Molecule: ribosomal RNA, 430 nt
Filed under: bacterium
Lineage: Bacteria
Also listed under: 1 other name
Description: bacterial SSU rRNA
Rfam family: Bacterial small subunit ribosomal RNA
Source: RNAcentral
GUAGGGAAUCUUCGGCAAUGGGGGCAACCCUGACCGAGCAACGCCGCGUGAGUGAAGAAGGUUUUCGGAUCGUAAAGCUCUGUUGUAAGAGAAGAACGUGUGUGAGAGUGGAAAGUUCACACAGUGACGGUAACUUACCAGAAAGGGACGGCUAACUACGUGCCAGCAGCCGCGGUAAUACGUAGGUCCCGAGCGUUGUCCGGAUUUAUUGGGCGUAAAGCGAGCGCAGGCGGUUUAAUAAGUCUGAAGUUAAAGGCAGUGGCUUAACCAUUGUUCGCUUUGGAAACUGUUAAACUUGAGUGCAGAAGGGGAGAGUGGAAUUCCAUGUGUAGCGGUGAAAUGCGUAGAUAUAUGGAGGAACACCGGUGGCGAAAGCGGCUCUCUGGUCUGUAACUGACGCUGAGGCUCGAAAGCGUGGGGAGCAAACAGG